Molecule: unclassified non-coding RNA, 236 nt
Filed under: fungal sp.
Lineage: Eukaryota; Fungi
Description: partial internal transcribed spacer region
Rfam family: Eukaryotic small subunit ribosomal RNA (bases 1-46)
Source: RNAcentral
AAGUCGUAACAAGGUCUCCGUUGGUGAACCAGCGGAGGGAUCAUUACAGAGUUGCAAAACUCCCAACCCAUUGUGAACCUACCUGUAUGUUGCUUCGGUGGGGUGGCCUCUCCGGAGGUCCUCAGGCUGCAAGGCACCCCGCCGGAGGUUUUAUCAAACUCUUUUUGUUUUCGACCUGUCUUCUGAGUACACAAACAAAAUAAUCAAAACUUUCAACAACGGAUCUCUUGGCUCUA